Molecule: long non-coding RNA, 1112 nt
Filed under: Anas platyrhynchos platyrhynchos (common mallard)
Lineage: Eukaryota; Metazoa; Chordata; Aves; Anseriformes; Anatidae
Description: lncRNA (ENSAPLG00000025806.1)
Source: RNAcentral
CCCCAGUUCCUGGUCCCCAGUUCCUGGUCCCCCCCUCACACAGGUCAGGCUGACUGACCUGUAGUUUCCCCGAUCCAUCAGAAAGUUUUCCUCAACUCAUUGUAGGAACCGUUUGGACUGCUCGUGUUUGUUCGAAUUGCUUACCCAGCAGAUGUCUGGGUCAUUGAAGUUCCCCAUGUGGACCAGUGCUCGUGAUUGUGAGGCUACUAGCAGCUGCUUGUAGAAGGCGUCGUUGACUUCCUCCUCCUGAUCUGGAGAGCUUUAGUAGACCCCCACCACCAUGUCUCCCAUACCAGCCCACCCCUUAAUUCUUACCCACAAGCUCUCCACCUGUCCAUCACCCUCCCCCAGCUGGAGCUGGCUACACUCUAAUUGCUCCCUCACAUAAGGGCUACCCCACCCCCUUGCUUUCCCAGCCUGUCUCUCCUAAAGAGGACGUAGCCCUCCAUGAUUGUGCUCCAGUCAUGCAAGCUGUCCCACCACGUCUCAGUGAUCGCAACGAGAUCGUGGCCCCGCAUCCGAACGCAGACCUUGAGCUCAUCCUGUUUAUUUCCCACGCUCCGUGCACUGGUGCACAAGCACUUUAGGGAAGCAGCAGUGACAGUGGUGUGAAAUGUGUUCAUCUGAUCUGUGGCAGUAUGGAACAAUGCUAGGGCUGCAUGGUAUGAUGAAUGUGACCUUCUGUCCUACAGACCCUUGUACAAGCACAAGUCUAAGAAAAACAGAGUGGUUAAUGCACAUGUAUGUAGUUCUUGUACCUUGCAAAGGAAUGUUUUAGCAAUUCGUGUCAAUAGAGAGCUUGAAGGGAAAUGUAUUUGUAGGCUUUUCCUUUAAGUCUCUGAUACCUGGGGGGGUUCAGAAUAGCUGCUAACUAUUAUGACUAUUGCAUGGGACACUAUGCAAGUCUCUGGUAUCCAGCCAGGAGAUUAAGGAGACGGGGAAAGCUGAAGAACGACUAAAAGACAAAGCUUGCAGGGGAUGCUGCACAAGUCUCUGACAUACAGCCAAGCUGGACAAAGGAGAAGGACCAGAGGGAGGAAGACUAUGAGCCUUCUGCAUGAGAGACCCCCAGAGGGACCACCGGAGACUGUUACGCAUGCUCCAGUAGGAGG